GAUGAAGAACGUAGCGAAAUGCGAUAAGUAAUGUGAAUUGCAGAAUUCAGUGAACCAUCGAAUCUUUGAACGCACAUUGCGCCCGCGAGUAUUCUCGCGGGCAUGCCUGUCCGAGCGUCAUUUCAACCCUCAGGGCCCGCCUGCUUCGGCAGGCGCGGCGCUGGUGUUGGGGAUCGGCCUAACCGCCGUCCCCCAAAUACAGUGGCGGUCUCGCUGCAGCCUCCCCUGCGUAGUAGCAACACUCGCAUGCGGAGCGCGGCGCGGCCACGCCGUAAAACCCCCGACUUUCUGAACGUUGACCUCGGAUCAGGUAGGAAUACCCGCUGAACUUAAGCAUAUCAAUAAGCGGAGGA
RNAcentral lists this unclassified non-coding RNA (353 nucleotides) under soil metagenome. RNAcentral describes it as "partial contains 5.8S ribosomal RNA, internal transcribed spacer 2, and large subunit ribosomal RNA". The stretch from base 1 to 120 matches the Rfam family "5.8S ribosomal RNA", at positions 35 to 154 of the family's 154-position model. The record is from RNAcentral.